GACGAACGCUGGCGGCGUGCUUAACACAUGCAAGUCGAACGGAAAGGCCCUGCUUUUGUGGGGUGCUCGAGUGGCGAACGGGUGAGUAACACGUGAGUAACCUGCCCUUGACUUUGGGGUAACUUCAGGAAACUGGGGCUAAUACCGGAUAGGAGCUCCUGCUGCAUGGUGGGGGUUGGAAAGUUUCGGCGGUUGGGGAUGGACUCGCGGCUUAUCAGCUUGUUGGUGGGGUAGUGGCUUACCAAGGCUUUGACGGGUAGCCGGCCUGAGAGGGUGACCGGCCACAUUGGGACUGAGAUACGGCCCAGACUCCUACGGGAGGCAGCAGUGGGGAAUAUUGCACAAUGGGCGGAAGCCUGAUGCAGCAACGCCGCGUGCGGGAUGACGACCUUCGGGUUGUAAACCGCUUUCGCCUGUGACGAAGCGUGAGUGACGGUAAUGGGUAAAGAAGCACCGGCUAACUACGUG
Molecule: ribosomal RNA, 468 nt
Filed under: uncultured bacterium
Lineage: Bacteria
Description: partial 16S ribosomal RNA
Rfam family: Bacterial small subunit ribosomal RNA
Source: RNAcentral